AUUGAACGCUGGCGGCAGGCCUAACACAUGCAAGUCGAGCGGAUGAAGGGAGCUUGCUCCUGGAUUCAGCGGCGGACGGGUGAGUAAUGCCUAGGAAUCUGCCUGGUAGUGGGGGAUAACGUCCGGAAACGGGCGCUAAUACCGCAUACGUCCUGAGGGAGAAAGUGGGGGAUCUUCGGACCUCACGCUAUCAGAUGAGCCUAGGUCGGAUUAGCUAGUUGGUGAGGUAAGGGCCUACCAAGGCGACGAUCCGUAACUGGUCUGAGAGGAUGAUCAGUCACACUGGAACUGAGACACGGUCCAGACUCCUACGGGAGGCAGCAGUGGGGAAUAUUGGACAAUGGGCGAAAGCCUGAUCCAGCCAUGCCGCGUGUGUGAAGAAGGUCUUCGGAUUGUAAAGCACUUUAAGUUGGGAGGAAGGGCAGUAAGUUAAUACCUUGCUGUUUUGACGUUACCAACAGAAUAAGCACCGGCUAACUUCGUG
RNAcentral lists this ribosomal RNA (484 nucleotides) under uncultured bacterium. Its description in RNAcentral is "partial 16S ribosomal RNA". It matches the Rfam family "Bacterial small subunit ribosomal RNA", at positions 30 to 507 of the family's 1533-position model. The record is from RNAcentral.